This is a small nuclear RNA of Protopterus annectens (West African lungfish), 107 nucleotides long. NCBI's taxonomy places the organism in Eukaryota, Metazoa, Chordata, Ceratodontiformes, Protopteridae. The record is from RefSeq and is a predicted model, not a curated record.
GUAUUUGUUUUGGCAGUAUAUGUACUGAAAUUGGAUUGCUUCAGAGAAUAUUAGUAUGGCCCCUGCUCAAAGAAAACAUGCAGAUUUGUGAAGGAUUGAAUGUUUUU